AUUCACAAAGUGUUGGAUUGUUCACCCACUAACAAGGAACGUGAGCUGGGUUUAGACCGUCGUGAGACAGGUUAGUUUUACCCUACUGUUGUCAAUUGUUUGCGUAAUAGUAGCAUGAUUUAGUACGAGAGGAACUGUCAUGCCGGAUCACUGGUCUGUAGGUUUAUUUGACAAAAUAGUGACCUGCCGCUACCAUCCGUUGGAUAAUGGCUGAACGCCUCUAAGUCAGAAUCCAUUCUAGAAACGCAAACCAAAUGCUUUAGAGUGUGAAUGUUGUAGGUAACAUUAGGUUGUUGGUGGGGGACCACUUUCAACUUUAAACCAUAUGAUUAAUCGCUGUUACACUGCAGUUUCCUUCCGGUUAUUGUGGUGGGUGGCUAAAUUCUAAUUUAUAUCCUCGUUCCGCUCAACUCUUCGAUUGUAGACGACUAUCAAAUGAACUAGGUGCUGUAAGCUUCCGAGUAGCGUUCAGUUACGAGGGGUUGAGGCUUUUCCAUUAGUUCUUUCUUGUAAGAAAAAAGGGGCUUUUUUUUAAUACUAAGGGUAAGUAUCCAAAUUUUUUUUUGGGUGCUUGCCCUUUUUUUUUGACCUUUGAUUUUUCAAAAAAAUCACCAAAGUCAAUUAGUAUGAGGCAAGUCGGCCAUUUGUCCAUAGUAAGC
Molecule: small RNA, 659 nt
Filed under: Dictyostelium discoideum
Lineage: Eukaryota; Evosea; Eumycetozoa; Dictyosteliales; Dictyosteliaceae
Description: eukaryotic LSU rRNA
Rfam family: Eukaryotic large subunit ribosomal RNA (bases 1-513)
Source: RNAcentral